This 101-nucleotide Y RNA is filed under the name Carlito syrichta (Philippine tarsier). RNAcentral describes it as "Y RNA (ENSTSYG00000034815.1)". It matches the Rfam family "Y RNA". From Rfam's summary of the family: Y RNAs are components of the Ro ribonucleoprotein particle (Ro RNP), in association with Ro60 and La proteins. The Y RNAs and Ro60 and La proteins are well conserved, but the function of the Ro RNP is not known. Lineage: Eukaryota; Metazoa; Chordata; Mammalia; Primates; Tarsiidae. The record is from Rfam by way of RNAcentral.
GGCUGGUCUGAGUGCAGUGGUGUUUACAACUAGUGGGUCACAACCAGUGACAGAUUUCUUUGUCCUUCUCCACUCCCACUGCUUCAUUUGACUAGCCUUUA